CCCAAAACCCGGAUCGGUUAACACCAAGCCAGAAGCGUCGACAAUACGGAGGGUGCGUGCGUUAAUCGGAAUUACUGGGCGUAAAGGGCGCGUAGGUUGUUUAGUAAGUGAUCUGUGAAAUCCCUGGGCUCAACCUGGGAAGGUCAGAUAAGACUGCAAAACUCGAGUAUGGGAGAGGGUAGUGGAAUUUCCGGUGUAGCGGUGAAAUGCGUAGAGAUCGGAAGGAACACCAGUGGCGAAGGCGGCUACCUGGCCUAGUACUGACACUGAGGCACGAAAGCGUGGGGAGCAGACAGGAUU
This 300-nucleotide ribosomal RNA is filed under the name uncultured Legionella sp. RNAcentral's name for it is "bacterial SSU rRNA". It matches the Rfam family "Bacterial small subunit ribosomal RNA", at positions 480 to 779 of the family's 1533-position model. The record is from RNAcentral. Lineage: Bacteria; Pseudomonadati; Pseudomonadota; Gammaproteobacteria; Legionellales; Legionellaceae.